AUCCCAUGAUGAGGACAGGCGGCCAUAUACUCCUGUAGUUGUUCCCAUGCCUUGGGAAUAGACUCAUCUCUCUUCUACUGGAAACUUGAAAUUCUCCCACGAAGGGC
This 107-nucleotide small nucleolar RNA is filed under the name Oryza glumipatula. RNAcentral's name for it is "Plant small nucleolar RNA R71". It matches the Rfam family "Plant small nucleolar RNA R71". From Rfam's summary of the family: R71 is a member of the C/D box family of snoRNAs containing the C (UGAUGA) and D (CUGA) box motifs. Lineage: Eukaryota; Viridiplantae; Streptophyta; Magnoliopsida; Poales; Poaceae. The record is from Rfam by way of RNAcentral.